Molecule: long non-coding RNA, 271 nt
Filed under: Elaeis guineensis (African oil palm)
Lineage: Eukaryota; Viridiplantae; Streptophyta; Magnoliopsida; Arecales; Arecaceae
Description: long non-coding RNA (EGUI_LNC025670)
Source: RNAcentral
AGGAUGGAAAAGAAUAGAAGAGUAAGAGAAAUUGGAUGGAACUAGAGGAGAACUGAAUAGGAAUAAAAAAUUUGGCUUGAUUUCCUACUGGUAGAGUUCUUCCUAAUUUUCGAGAGUUGAACUUAUUGAUGGAAGAUCUCUGACCCUCUAUUUAUAGAGGGGAUGAUGAGGUUAUUUUAAAAUUUGUUAGAUCGUUAGGAGAGUUUGUUAGACGAUUAGAGAGCCACCUGUAAAUGAACUAACGUACAGCUGUGCAUACAAACUGGAUAUG